This 790-nucleotide ribosomal RNA is filed under the name uncultured Verrucomicrobiales bacterium. RNAcentral's name for it is "bacterial SSU rRNA". It matches the Rfam family "Bacterial small subunit ribosomal RNA", at positions 28 to 798 of the family's 1533-position model. The record is from RNAcentral. Lineage: Bacteria; Pseudomonadati; Verrucomicrobiota; Verrucomicrobiia; Verrucomicrobiales.
AAUUGAGGGAAACCGGCGCGGUAUUAGACUGCAAAUCGAACGAGAUUUUUUUCUGUAGCAAUACAGGAAAAAGUCUAGUGGCGAACGGGUGCGUAACACGUGAGCAACCUGCCGUGAAGUGGGGGAUAGCUCGCCGAAAGGCGAAUUAAUACCGCAUAUGGCCAAGGAAGACAUCUUCCUGACGCCAAAGCCGGGGUAACCUGGCGCUUCUCGAGGGGCUCGCGGCCUAUCAGCUUGUUGGUGAGGUAACGGCUCACCAAGGCUAUGACGGGUAGCUGGUCUGAGAGGACGACCAGCCACACUGGAACUGAGACACGGUCCAGACACCUACGGGUGGCAGCAGUCGAGAAUUUUUCACAAUGGGGGAAACCCUGAUGGAGCGACGCCGCGUGGAGGAUGAAGGUUUUCGGAUUGUAAACUCCUGUCAUUAGAGAACAAGGCACAUGGUUUAACUGGCCGUGUGUUGAUAGUAUCUGAAGAGGAAGGGACGGCUAACUCUGUGCCAGCAGCCGCGGUAAUACAGAGGUCUCAAGCGUUGUUCGGAUUCAUUGGGCGUAAAGGGUGCGUAGGUGGCGAGGUAAGUCGGAUGUGAAAUCUCCAAGCUCAACUUGGAAACUGCAUUCGAUACUGCUUUGCUAGAGGAUUGUAGAAGGCAUUGGAAUUCACGGUGUAGCAGUGAAAUGCGUAGAUAUCGUGAGGAAGAACAGUGGCGAAGGCGAAUGCCUGGGCAUUCCUGACACUGAGGCACGAAGGCCAGGGAGCAAACGGGAUUAGAUACCCGGUAGUCUGG